This 74-nucleotide transfer RNA is filed under the name Verrucomicrobia bacterium ADurb.Bin006. RNAcentral's name for it is "tRNA-Gly". It matches the Rfam family "tRNA". Rfam says of the family: Transfer RNA (tRNA) molecules are approximately 80 nucleotides in length. Their secondary structure includes four short double-helical elements and three loops (D, anti-codon, and T loops). Further hydrogen bonds mediate the characteristic L-shaped molecular structure. tRNAs have two regions of fundamental functional importance: the anti-codon, which is responsible for specific mRNA codon recognition, and the 3' end, to which the tRNAs corresponding amino acid is attached (by aminoacyl-tRNA synthetases). tRNAs cope with the degeneracy of the genetic code in two manners: having more than one tRNA (with a specific anti-codon) for a particular amino acid; and 'wobble' base-pairing, i.e. permitting non-standard base-pairing at the 3rd anti-codon position. RNAcentral also lists the same sequence under 5 other names. Lineage: Bacteria; Pseudomonadati; Verrucomicrobiota. The record is from RNAcentral.
GCGGGUGUGGUUCAAUGGUAGAACGCGGGCUUCCCAAGCCUGAAGCGAGGGUUCGAUUCCCUUCACCCGCUCCA